This 503-nucleotide long non-coding RNA is filed under the name Setaria viridis. RNAcentral's name for it is "long non-coding RNA (SVIR_LNC010060)". The record is from RNAcentral. Lineage: Eukaryota; Viridiplantae; Streptophyta; Magnoliopsida; Poales; Poaceae.
CUGAUCUGCAUGUGUUCCAACAAAAUUCUAUUGUAGCGUGGCACGGUGGAUGUCGCAGCAUAUUGCAAGAUUUCACAAACACUAGAGGUCGCUCGCUCGCUCGUUCGCCACAUCGAUCUGGUAGACUGCUAUACAUUAUACGCAUGCAUACGGUCCCGGCCCGUAUAUCCAUAUAUACAUCAAGAACACGUAAUAGCUAAGCUUGUAGGUGGAAACCGCGGUAGCCAGAGUUAUACGUAGCCACGGAACACGUACCAGCCGGUGCCUCUCCGGCGUGGUUUGCAUUGCGUGGCAUGUGUACGUGCCGCUCAGGAGUUGCCGGUGGCGAUCCGGGCGACGUGGAACUGCGGCGUGUAGUUCUGCGCUCUGCUGGCCGGCUCCUCCUGCGGCGGCUCGUUCAGGAAUGCCCAGUUGCUCCGCGUCCACCAGUCGCGGCUCUUGCUGGGGCUGUCAGCGGCGGCGCCGUCGUCGUCACCGGGGAGGAAGCCGUCCACGCGGACCCG